RNAcentral lists this ribosomal RNA (472 nucleotides) under uncultured bacterium. RNAcentral's name for it is "bacterial SSU rRNA". It matches the Rfam family "Bacterial small subunit ribosomal RNA", at positions 23 to 507 of the family's 1533-position model. The record is from RNAcentral.
CUCAGGAUGAACGCUGGCGGCGUGCUUAACACAUGCAAGUCGAACGAACGGAGGAGAGCUUGCUCUCCAAAGUUAGUGGCGGACGGGUGAGUAACGCGUGGGUAACCUGCCUCAUGCAGGGGGAUAACAUCUGGAAACGGAUGCUAAUACCGCAUAAACUAUGGAUGACCGCAUGGUCAUUAUAGCAAAGAUUUAUCGGCAUGAGAUGGACCCGCGUUGGAUUAGCUAGUUGGUGAGAUAACAGCCCACCAAGGCGACGAUCCAUAGCCGGCCUGAGAGGGUGAACGGCCACAUUGGGACUGAGACACGGCCCAAACUCCUACGGAAGGCAGCAGUGGGGAAUAUUGCACAAUGGGCGAAAGCCUGAUGCAGCAACGCCGCGUGAAGGAUGAAGGUCUUCGGAUUGUAAACUUCUAUCAGCAGGGAAGAAUAAAUGACGGUACCUGACUAAGAAGCUCCGGCUAACUACGUG